RNAcentral lists this ribosomal RNA (387 nucleotides) under uncultured bacterium. RNAcentral's name for it is "bacterial SSU rRNA". It matches the Rfam family "Bacterial small subunit ribosomal RNA", at positions 30 to 416 of the family's 1533-position model. The record is from RNAcentral.
AUUGAACGCUGGCGGCAUGCCUUACACAUGCAAGUCGAACGGCAGCACGGGAGCUUGCUCCUGGUGGCGAGUGGCGAACGGGUGAGUAAUACAUCGGAACGUACCCUGAAGUGGGGGAUAACGUAGCGAAAGUUACGCUAAUACCGCAUAUUCUGUGAGCAGGAAAGAGGGGGAUCGCAAGACCUCUUGCUUUAGGAGCGGCCGAUGUCGGAUUAGCUAGUUGGUGAGGUAAAGGCUCACCAAGGCGACGAUCCGUAGCGGGUCUGAGAGGAUGAUCGCCAUACUGGGACUGAGACACGGCCCAGACUCCUACGGGAGGCAGCAGUGGGGAAUUUUGGACAAUGGGCGCAAGCCUGAUCCAGCCAUGCCGCGUGAGUGAAGAAGGCC